RNAcentral lists this long non-coding RNA (1306 nucleotides) under Setaria viridis. RNAcentral's name for it is "long non-coding RNA (SVIR_LNC005711)". Lineage: Eukaryota; Viridiplantae; Streptophyta; Magnoliopsida; Poales; Poaceae. The record is from RNAcentral.
AAGAAUAUUCUCUAGCUCGGUAAUUACUCAUUUUAUUCCAAAUUGUAGGUCGUUUUGGCUUUUCUAAGUGCAUAGUUUUUCUAAGUGUAUAGUUUUUCUAGGUAUUGUGUACCAUAAACUUAGAAAUGUCAAAAUGACCUACAAUUUAGAACGGAGAGAGAGUAAUAUCUUUUUUCGUGAUUUGUGCUCACCUGGUGGGUUUGUAUGACAAGCCAAGCCGAGUAAUAUACAUUUCUUAAAUGGGAAACUGAAAUUUGUGGGGCACGUUGAUUGCAUAUAAGAGUAAAGUGUAAGUGCUUAAGUUAAGACAGAGCACCAAACGUUGGAAAAUAUGCAAAUUUAUUAUACAUUUGAGAAUAAAAAUAAUAAACACAUUCAGUUAGCGAUGAGUUGUAGGAUAUCAUUUCGUUCGUAACUAUGUAAAAGUUUAUAUACUUCGUUUGACUUGUACGUAAUUAAAUUCUAUAGUCAGGAUCUUUGCAUAGUCACUACUACACAACAUGUAAAAUCAAAUCCGCAUCCCUCCUUUUGUCAUGUAUCUAAAAUUGGUAGCAGAUUGAGCUUUGAGAUUUCCAUAUUCAGACUCAUAUUGAAAUUCUAGUAUGCUAGUCUAUCAACCCGUGCGGGCUAAUAAUUUUAAGAGUCAUUAUAUUAUUUUUUUAUAAUGGCAUAAGUGAGUAAUUUAGAUGAAGGUUAGGGGUUACUUUAAUUUAUUUUUUUAUAAUGGUAGAGGUGAGUAAUUUAGAAAUAGAUUUAGGGAGUUAUUGUAGACUUAUUUUCAUAAUGGCAAAAGUGGGUACUUUUUUAGAAAUUAUACAUCCAAUGGCUAUGAUGAUUUGUGUCUACGAAGUGAUGGCUAGAUGUUUUGCUUUUUUGAGAGAUUUUUUAGGAUUUCUCUCUGUUUUUAGAGUGUCCACCUAAAAUCCUGGUAGCUUCGUGUGGAGAUUUAAAAGACCUCUAAGAUUAUAUAUGGACCUUUUUCUUCAGUUCAAUAUUGCAUUUUCGCUAAUGCGGUGAUUCUCACUCAAAAGGUGACUUACUGUUGAAAAGACAUCUAUGCCUAAUAUGGGUCAUACCUUGAAAUUUUUAAAUUUCAGGAUAUGAUUAAAAGAAAUAAUUAAACAAUAAUUUUUUAUAUUACAAAAAUUUUCCCAACAUUUACUUUUCUUUCAAGGAAAUUUAGUAUAGGAAAAAUAAUUGUUUAUUUUUCAAAAUUAAAUAAUGUGGUUUUGUGUCUGUGCAUUCAUACCGAUGCAUCUUUGUGUUUUAUGAGUGAAAAAGUUUCAAAAAUGCGUUUAGACGUUGU